AGCAGCCAUGGCACAACCUAGCAGAGACAGCCAGGCCUCUGUGGAGUUGGCAGGAGUCAGCUGGAACAACCAAGACCAGCAGGGACACCAGGAGAAGUUCUCUGCCAUGCCUCUCUCAACGAAGUGAAGGUCAUUGAAGACUCGAGACCGGGAAGCAUUUCAAACCUAGCUAUGCAAGCCCCCAUCACUGUCCACUGAGUCCUAUUUAUAGUCCCUCCAAACUUCCCACGGGGCUUGCCUAACCUGAGUCUGUCUUAGCAGACUGUAGCAGCUGAUAUCACUCUGCCAAUCCGCCCGAGUUCAUGGAAACAGCAAGAAGCCACCAGUGCACCACCUGAAGUAUGCUGGCGAGUUUCUGUGAUGUCGCAAGUGGAGCUCAGCAACAUAGUGUAAGUGAUGAGGCUGAAACGAGCCGGAGAAAUGAUGAGAUCGCUCAGGGCUGGCCAAGUGACUGAGAUGGGACUUCAAAGUGCUGGGGAUGGGAUACAAGCCCUUGUGCACAGUAAGAAAAUAUUCUCUGGUGAGCUGUUCCCAGGCCUACCUGGAAUGCCUAGCAGUCUUUUCUUGAAGAUUUUAUGUCCAUUCUACAGAGGAGGAAGAUAACAGUAAAGCCCUCGGCCAGCCUGUGUCUGAGCUUUUAGUGUUGGUCUUAUGCCCAAAGCCACCUUUGUUUGGAAAUCCUAACAUCACUGUGCCUUGCUGAGGUGACUGUAGGCUCGCUUGCCAGCCCUUUGCUGAGGCGAUGAUGUAACUGGAGAAGGGCACGGCAUAAUAAGUGGCCAUCGCACACAAGGCAAGAGCCAAAAACUGGGAGGUCUCCACUCUCCUCUUUGAACAAUUGAAGUGCAUUAAACAUCUCUCCCGCAGUCACACUAAA
Rattus norvegicus (Norway rat) is the source of this 877-nucleotide non-coding RNA. The record is from RefSeq and is a predicted model, not a curated record. NCBI's taxonomy places the organism in Eukaryota, Metazoa, Chordata, Mammalia, Rodentia, Muridae.